GAUGAACGCUGGCGGCGUGCCUAAUACAUGCAAGUCGAGCGAACGGACGAGAAGCUUGCUUCUCUGAUGUUAGCGGCGGACGGGUGAGUAACACGUGGAUAACCUACCUAUAAGACUGGGAUAACUUCGGGAAACCGGAGCUAAUACCGGAUGAUAUUUUGAACCGCAUGGUUCAAAAGUGAAAGACGGUCUUGCUGUCACUUAUAGAUGGAUCCGCGCUGCAUUAGCUAGUUUGUAAGGUAACGGCUUACCAAGGCAACGAUGCAUAGCCGACCUGAGAGGGUGAUCGGCCACACUGGAACUGAGACACGGUCCAGACUCCUACGAGAGGCAGAAGAAGGGAAUCUUCCGCAAUGGGCGAAAGCCUGACGGAGCAACGCCGCGUGAGUGAUGAAGGUCUUCGGAUCGUAAAACUCUGUUAUUAGGGAAGAACAUAUGUGUAAGUAACUGUGCACAUCUUGACGGUACCUAAUCAGAAAGCCACGGCUAAAUACGUG
Molecule: ribosomal RNA, 497 nt
Filed under: uncultured bacterium
Lineage: Bacteria
Description: partial 16S ribosomal RNA
Rfam family: Bacterial small subunit ribosomal RNA
Source: RNAcentral